Molecule: long non-coding RNA, 488 nt
Organism: Oncorhynchus tshawytscha (Chinook salmon)
Lineage: Eukaryota; Metazoa; Chordata; Actinopteri; Salmoniformes; Salmonidae
Source: Ensembl
AGACAGGCUAGAUGUCAGGACAGGCAGAGGGGUCAGACAGGCUAGAUGUCAGGGCAGGCAGAGGGGUCAGACAGGCUAGAUGUCAGGGCAGGCAGAGGGGUCAGACAGGCUAGAUGUCAGGACAGGCAGAGGGGUCAGACAGGCUAGAUGUCAGGACAGGCAGAGGGGUCAGACAGGUUAGAUGUCAGGGCAGGCAGAAGGGUCAGACAGGCUAGAUGUCAGGGCAGGCAGAGGGGUCAGACAGGCUAGAUGUCAGGGCAGGCAGAGGGGUCAGACAGGUUAGAUGUCAGGGCAGGCAGAAGGGUCAGACAGGCUAGAUGUCAGGGCAGGCAGAGGGGUCAGACAGGCUAGAUGUCAGGCAGAGGGGUCAGACAGGCUAGAUGUCAGGCAGAGGGGUCAGACAGGCUAGAUGUCAGGGCAGGCAGAGGGGUCAGACAGGCUAGAUGUCAGGGCAGGUAGAGGGGUCAGACAGGCUAGAUGUCAGGGCA